RNAcentral lists this ribosomal RNA (447 nucleotides) under uncultured bacterium. Its description in RNAcentral is "bacterial SSU rRNA". It matches the Rfam family "Bacterial small subunit ribosomal RNA", at positions 329 to 793 of the family's 1533-position model. The record is from RNAcentral.
AUCCAGACUCCUACGGGAGGCAGCAGUGGGGAAUAUUGCACAAUGGGGGAAACCCUGAUGCAGCGACGCCGCGUGAGUGAAGAAGUAUUUCGGUAUGUAAAGCUCUAUCAGCAGGGAAGAAGUUGACGGUACCUGAGUAAGAAGCCCCGGCUAACUACGUGCCAGCAGCCGCGGUAAUACGUAGGGGGCAAGCGUUAUCCGGAUUUACUGGGUGUAAAGGGAGCGUAGACGGCAGUGCAAGUCUGAAGUGAAAGCCCCGGGCUUAACCCGGGAAUUGCUUUGGAAACUGUACGGCUGGAGUGCUGGAGAGGUAAGCGGAAUUCCUAGUGUAGCGGUGAAAUGCGUAGAUAUUAGGAGGAACACCAGUGGCGAAGGCGGCUUACUGGACAGUAACUGACGUUGAGGCUCGAAAGCGUGGGGAGCAAACAGGAUUAGAUACCCUAGUAU